RNAcentral lists this ribosomal RNA (464 nucleotides) under Vreelandella stevensii. RNAcentral describes it as "partial 16S ribosomal RNA". It matches the Rfam family "Bacterial small subunit ribosomal RNA", at positions 338 to 795 of the family's 1533-position model. The record is from RNAcentral. Lineage: Bacteria; Pseudomonadati; Pseudomonadota; Gammaproteobacteria; Oceanospirillales; Halomonadaceae.
CCUACGGGGGGCUGCAGUGGGGAAUAUUGGACAAUGGGCGAAAGCCUGAUCCAGCCAUGCCGCGUGUGUGAAGAAGGCCUUCGGGUUGUAAAGCACUUUCAGUGGGGAAGAAAGCCUUGGGGCUAAUACCCUCGAGGAAGGACAUCACCCACAGAAGAAGCACCGGCUAACUCCGUGCCAGCAGCCGCGGUAAUACGGAGGGUGCGAGCGUUAAUCGGAAUUACUGGGCGUAAAGCGCGCGUAGGCGGUCUGAUAAGCCGGUUGUGAAAGCCCCGGGCUCAACCUGGGAACGGCAUCCGGAACUGUCAGGCUAGAGUGCAGGAGAGGAAGGUAGAAUUCCCGGUGUAGCGGUGAAAUGCGUAGAGAUCGGGAGGAAUACCAGUGGCGAAGGCGGCCUUCUGGACUGACACUGACGCUGAGGUGCGAAAGCGUGGGUAGCAAACAGGAUUAGAUACCCCGGAGUC